GUGACUCAUCCAGCUAGCAGCCUAGCCGAGAUUAAUCCUUUCCUUGCAAGGAUCUUCACUUAAUGGUCAACCCACUUUCCUAAAGCAAGCGGACCAGGAGUAGGAUGAAGAAAGACUUUUGGAAGCAUCCUUUUGAAUCCUACAUUUUGCUUCUUCAUUUGUCCAUUGAUGGAGGAUAAGAACAUUGCAGUUCAGAGAAUUACUGCAUUUUGGACACCUGAUUUCCCAACAGCGCCCUUUCAACACUACCUUUAUUACUUCUUUAAAAUUAAUGGUGGGGCCGACGCCAUGGUUCACUUGGUUAAUCCUCCACCUGCGGCGCCGGCAUCCCAUAUGGGCGCCGGGUUCUAGUCCCAGUUGCUCCUCUUCCAGUCCAGCUCUCUGCUGUGGCCCGGGAAGGCAGUGGAGGAUGGCCCAAGUGCUUGGGCCCCUCACCUGGCAUGGGAGAUCUGGAGGGGGCACCUGGCUCCUGGCUUCGGAUCGGCACAGCACUGGCCAUGUUGGCCAUUUAGGGGGUGAACCAGCGGAGGGAAGACCUUUCUCUCUCUCUCACUCUCACUGUCUAACUCAUCUGUCAAAUAAAUUUUAAAA
Oryctolagus cuniculus (rabbit) is the source of this 591-nucleotide long non-coding RNA. RefSeq lists it as uncharacterized. NCBI's taxonomy places the organism in Eukaryota, Metazoa, Chordata, Mammalia, Lagomorpha, Leporidae. The record is from RefSeq and is a predicted model, not a curated record.